AUGUCCGUGCUGCUGAUCCCUGCAUACACUCCCGUUAGGAGAAGAUCCCCCCCAGUGACAAAAACCGUGAAAACCUGGCCAGUAGGUGCAUCACAUCAGCUGCAGGACUGUUUUGAAAACACGGACUGGAGCGUGUUCGAACAUCAGGACCUUGAAGAGCACACAACAUCAGUGCUCUCAUAUAUUAACUUCUGUGUCAACAGUGUCACUGUGGACACAUGUCUCCGGGUGUAUUCCAACCAGAAACCCUGGAUGACUAAAGAGGUCCAGGUCCUGCUGAAGCAACGUGACGCCGCUUUUAGAUCCGGUGAUGGUAUGCAUUACAGUGCAGCCAAAUCUGAGUUGAAAAGAGGCAUCAGAGAAGCCAAGGCAGCGUACAAGAGAAGGAUCGAAGACCACUUCAGCAACAACAACUCACGACAGGUAUGGCAGGGAGUUCAGCACUUAACCAACUACAAACUUUGCAAUACCACGUUGACUGAGGGUAACGCCGAGCUUGCGGAGGAGCUGAACCACUUCUUCGCACGCUUUGAGGUGAAGGGACCAGAGGCAGCAGCAGCAAAAACAUUGGACAGCAGCAGCAGCCCAAGCCUCAUAGUGCAGGAAUAUGAGGUGAGGCGCACACUGAGGGCAGUGAACCCCAGGAAGGCCGCCGGACCAGAUAGGGUAACCGCAAGGGUCCUUAAAGAGUGUGCAGACCAGCUGGCUGGGGUCUUCACUAAGAUCUUCAACACUUCACUGUCCCAGUCCUGCAUCCCACCGUGCCUAAAGUCAGCCACAAUUGUCCCACUGCCAAAGCGUACUAACAUUAGCAGCCUCAACUACCGACCAGCUGCUCUAACACCUGUUAUAAUGAAGUGCUUCGAGAAACUGGUCCGACGUCACAUCAUGUCCUGCCUGCCACCCACACUCGACCCGCUCCAGUUCGCAUACAGAGCUAACAGAUCAACUGAAGAUGCCAUUGCUACAACGCUCCACACCACCAUCUCUCACCUGGAAGUGCAGGGUCGUUACGCCAGGCUGCUCUUUGUUGACUUUAGCUCUGCUUUCAAUACGAUACUCCCGGACAGACUAAUAGUAAAACUGCUGGAAAUCGGACUUCCUUCUACCACCUGCCGCUGGAUCAGAGACUUCCUCUCAGACCGUGUACAGAGAGUUAGAGUGGGGCCUCAUCUUUCCUCAGCCCUCAGUCUUAACACCGGCUCUCCACAAGGCUGUGUACUCUACUGUACACUCUGUACACACAUGACUGUGUUAGUACCCACCCAGACAACGCAGUCAUCAAGUUUGCAGAUGAUACCACCGUGGUGGGGCUCAUCUCUGGGGGAGAUGAGACGGCGUACAGAGCUGAAGUUCAGAGGCUGUCAGAUUGGUGUGUAG
This 1380-nucleotide long non-coding RNA is filed under the name Oreochromis niloticus (Nile tilapia). RNAcentral's name for it is "lncRNA (ENSONIG00000040507.1)". The record is from RNAcentral. Lineage: Eukaryota; Metazoa; Chordata; Actinopteri; Cichliformes; Cichlidae.